This is a long non-coding RNA of Panicum virgatum (switchgrass), 1260 nucleotides long. RefSeq lists it as uncharacterized. Lineage: Eukaryota; Viridiplantae; Streptophyta; Magnoliopsida; Poales; Poaceae. The record is from RefSeq and is a predicted model, not a curated record. The transcript is spliced from 3 exons.
GUGGCUCGUGCUGCGGCGCCGCCGCCACCGCAUCCGCCGGUGGAUCAACACGCGCCGCCGCCCUAUCCAACACCAGGUCCUGGAAUGCCACUGCAGUCCCCACUACAUCCCUGGGGUGGUUAUGUUAAUUUGUUACAGCAACCACAGUUUUCUGCACUGGGAGAAAAUUUCCAUUUUGUUGGACAUACUCAAAACUUUGCACCAAUAUUUUCAUCACCGUCACCAUCGGCACAAAGAGAACCCUCAUCUCAUCAAGGCACUGGUAGAGCUCCAUUGACAUUGAUGGUGACGACGAUGUUGUCGAGACAAAUCGGACAGCUAAGAGAAGGCAUUGGUCACAUGAAGAGGAAGUUCGAUUGGCGAGUGCUUGGCUGAACAAUUCUAAUGACUCAAUACAAGGGAAUGGCAAGAAGGGUGAUACAUUUUGGAAGGAUAUCACUGCAGAGUUUAACAGCAACGCACCGGCAGAUCGUCAAAGGGACACUAAUCAGCUGAAGAUUCACUGGUCACGCUUGAAGACAGUUAUCAAUGACUUCAAUGGAUGUUGGACUCAGGCGACUAGAGUGAAUAAGAGUGGAGCGUCUGAUGAUCAGUUGAUGGAUGAGGCACUUAAAUUGUUUGAAGUCCGAUUUAAGAAGCCUUUCACUCUAAUUCAUUGGUGGAGGACUCUCAAGAACCAACCCAAAUGGUGUGCCUAUGUUGCACAGCUGGAGAAAGAAAAGCAGCAAUCACAGGUUCCCAUAUCUGUUGAUGAUGACAUAGGCUCGGAGCGUCCAAUGGGGAGAGAUUCAGCCAAGGCACAACGCAAUGGCAAGCGCAAGGCUGAAGAGAUUACUGAAGGUCUUGCAAUCUUAGGAGAAAAUAUAAACAAGAUAGUUGCAUUGACGCAAGAACGUAAGCAGGCCACAGGUGCGCACCUUGAAAUCUCAAGGAUGAAACUCAAGACAGCAGAAAAGGAAAAGGAAGCAAAUAUGCUGUUAGUUUAUAAUUCAUUGCUGCAGCAAGACAUAAGCCAAAUGACAGAAGAAUCAAAGGCUAGAAGGGAUAAGAAUUUGGCGAUGAUGGAGAAGAAGCUAUUCAGUAACAAUGAUGAGGUUUAGUUUUAGAGGCAAUCUAACAUGCUUGUGUGAGCAUGCUAUCUACCAUUGUACUUUGUUUAACCAUCUAUGAUCUGUGUCAUGCUUGUGUGACCAUUGACGGUAUGCUUGUAUCUUGUUUAACCAUCAUUGAUAUUGGUCAUGCUUGUGUAAGCAUGCUAUC